AGGUGAGGCGACUCGUGCGCACGUGUAGCACGUACGGCAGCCGGCCAGCAGCCGCGCCCAAAGGAGCUCUUGUUGCAGCCCUAUGGCACCCAAACGAUCGUUACGAUCGCUGUUACCUAGGUCGUAGAUCGUUACCCCUCCGGCAUCGUUACGAUCUCGCUACGAUCUGCUUACCAUCUUAACCAGCCAUGGUAACAGCCUCGUCACGGUCUACAAGGCACACCAGUAACCAUCACUUUGAGGCCCGUUACAUGGCAGCCUUGUGCUUUGCUGAAGGCCUACAUCAGUACUAAAGUAAGAACUAUGUAGUCCUACCGCUACUCCACAUGCUAGCCAUCUGUCAAGGCUUGAUAGCACGACAAGUGCAGAUGCUCAUGCAACACUUAUGCAACACUACCGCAAGUCCAUACGUACAUGCAACAAUACGCCAAGUCCCUAUCGUCUGCGUGUGAACGUGCAACUAGCCACUGGCAGCAACCACUUGCAUGUCUGCUGGGCACAACAUCUCCGACCCACCACCUUGACGCCCGCCGCCACCACAGCUACCAUGCCAACUAUGCCACUGGCGCCGCCGCGCCUGCCUCCAUCUCUAGCACCAGACAGCUGGUGUCAAGCUGGCUCCUGUAGUUUUGCUUCCACCGGCAGCGCCUGCAUGCACGCGUGCACACACAUAGACACACCCAGUUAAUUGUCUGCCACAAGGUGGGCAGGUGCCAAUGCAUGUCAAGGCCAGCCAUGGACAGAGUGCUUGGCAGUGCACGGGGCCUACCACACAAGGCGCGUCUGUGUGCACAUGUGCAUGUGUGUGCGCCCACACGUGUCACGGACACUCACCGUUGAUGAGCACAAUGCUGGAGGUGUAGGGGCAGUCCAGCCAACCGUACGGUCCAGAGGGGACAACAGGGGUUGGGCAGCAAGCUGUGGCGGGGCAGGGUGUGUGCGUGUGGAGGGGAGGGGUGGUAUGUGAGACACAAGGCACCGUGGCAAGGGAGCCAUAAAAACACCUUACAGCGAGCGCUAGUAAGGGAGGCAGCAGACAGUCACUAGUUGAAGGCGGGGGUUCCCACCAGACAACCCAACACAGCGCGAGAAGUUGAACCAUGCACACUGGCUUGCUAGGUACCACUAGGUUCAACGCAUCCCAUCGUCAUUCAACCUGCGGACUAACCUGCGGACUAUGGCGUGCGGGGCGAGGGUGAUGUUGACAGAACGCGAUGUUGAAUGGCGUUGUUGACGCCGGCGACCGAGACUUCUCGGUCGGACAUUUGAAGCGCAGCUGAUAGAUCAUGAGGCAUAGUCGUUUCUCUCACGUAAUAGCUGGCUGCAGCUGACGUGUGAGCAGCGUCGCCAAGCCGGUCAACGAGCGGUCAGCAGCGUGAGGGCUCGCGUCCCAAGCCAGCCAAGCAGCGUCUGCCGCCAGCUCUUGUUCUACUGACAUUUGAGCUAUCAUAAAUUUGUGUUUACGAAGAGAAGUAGCGAGGGCGAGAGAGCAAACUGGGGGAGAGGAACAGAAGUGCAGCGGCACCGGCAUGAAGUGCAGUGUAUCAGUAUAUGUAUGGUACUAUAUCAGUAUAUGUAUAGUAGUAUCAGGGGCCGCUCUAUGCAGCUUAUUAAGUCAGGCCCGCGAGAACCCCAUGCAGGAACCCUGUUACCCGUCGCAAAGGCCCCGUUACCCCUUGCUUAGGGUCGUUACCACGCCCAAGGGCCUGUGUCACAAUGUCACACAGUCGGCCUACAGCCCCCAUACUUCCUCGUUCGCGAGCGCAACGACUACAUAAGUUUAAGGCUUCACAUAUUAGACUGUUUUAACACAAACUGUCACUACAAUACGCACUUUGCAGACUAGAAUGUCGGCAUGUUCACUUGCCAGCGACGAAAGGCACUCCGCCCAGUCCGCAAUGUGCGCAUGUAUGACAAGUAGCUAAGAGGUGACCACAGCACCGCUCGGCUUGCGUCCUGGGCGUGCCACGCCGUGCGGGCCCGAAACAAUCGUUACCCCCUGUUCGGGGAUCGUCACCCCCGUUUUUGGAUCGUUACCACCAUUUGGGUGCCAUAGGGCAGCCGCUGAUGCGUGGCUGUGGCGGGAUUGCGGAUUAAGUUACCGUGUCGGAGCCUAGCUGGCAGCAGUAACCUUGCUGCGACGCACCAUGCGACGACAAACCCUUGACCGCCCAGUUUCCCACCCCUGCCUGCCUUUUCGGGUUUCCACGCAGAUCUCCCAGCUGCUUCCGCUCGCCGACAAUGUGGAGAAGCUGUCUGGGCGCUGCACCUUCUGCGAGCAGCAGGGCCGCCGCAGCGCCUCGCACUUCACGCUGCGCAUCGCCGCCAGCACACAGCAGGAGCUGGUGGGUGCAGCAUGGUGGGCGAACUUGUGUCGGCCUGGCGCUGGCUGGUAGCUCUGUGCACAAAGCCAGCCAUACCGCACUACGGUAUGUAACCGUGCAUGUGACGUUCCCCACUACAGGUUGGUGGCGCUGAGGCGUACGCGCCCGUGUGCCGGGAGCACUACGUGCAGCUGAGCCGGGUGCGGGAGCACGGCGCACCCACUGCUGAUACAACUGAGGCGGAGGAGGAACUGGUGCCGCAGACGGCGUGAUGGCGAGCCGUUUGUGCUGGAUGGCUUUGUAGCAAAGGCUGGUGUGAUGGCGUCAGGGAGGGCUGGCAUGGGGAGCAAGACUCGGAGACAUGGUAUGCUGAGGAUAAGCAGCAUGCUUGCUUUCCCAAUGUGCAUAUCCGUCCUCUGGUAGGUUCUGUGGUGGCGCAUGUAAGCGGUGUCAACAGCCUCAGGUGCGUGCCCAUUGCAAGUGCGUGCCGCAUCCGCAGUGCCGCGCCUCUCCUCUUAACAGAGCGCACGGUGUGCUGCUCUAUGGCGUGAUACCACCCACAUACGCGCGACGUUGAAGCUGUGGGGCAUGAAAGUCUCUCGUGCCGAAGGAUGGUAGUAAAACUGUGAGCGCGGCACGAUGCAUGCAUGGCACGCAAAUCCGCUGAUCCAUCUUCCUGUAAAUUACAGGCAUUUUGCUGGACCAGCUGUUCUUUACUUGUGCGCACAUAUGAUGGAUUGCGCCUCAACGCAGGGUUUACCUGAGUUUACGCGAAACCUUCUUCCUCGUUCCAGCGCUUUCCUUGGCCAGAUACUAGGGACUUGACAUUACGAACAAGCAUCCAGCGAACAUGACAAUUAACUGGCUGCUUAGACUGCAGAAGAGUAGUUGCGCGAAAGCACACAUG
This 3231-nucleotide long non-coding RNA is filed under the name Chlamydomonas reinhardtii. RNAcentral describes it as "long non-coding RNA (CREI_LNC000299)". The record is from RNAcentral. Lineage: Eukaryota; Viridiplantae; Chlorophyta; Chlorophyceae; Chlamydomonadales; Chlamydomonadaceae.